GCAGUCGAACGGAGAAUUUAUUUCGGUAAAUUCUUAGUGGCGAACGGGUGAGUAACGCGUAGGCAACCUGCCCUUUGGAUGGGGACAACAUUCCGAAAGGAGUGCUAAUACCGAAUGUGAUCCAUUUCUCGCAUGAGAGAUGGAUGAAAGAUGGCCUCCAUUUAUAAGCUAUCGCCAAAGGAUGGGCCUGCGUCUGAUUAGUUAGUUGGUGGGGUAACGGCUCACCAAGACGAUGAUCAGUAGCCGGUCUGAGAGGAUGAACGGCCACAUUGGGACUGAGACACGGCCCAAACUCCUACGGGAGGCAGCAGUGGGGAAUCUUCCGCAAUGGACGAAAGUCUGACGGAGCAACGCCGCGUGAGUGAUGAAGGUUUUCGGACUGUAAAACUCUGUUGUCAGGGACGAAGGUGCGAUCUGCGAAUAGUUGAUCGUAUUGACGGUACCUGACGAGGAAGCCACGGCUAACUACGUGCCAGCAGCCGCGGUAAUACGUAGGUGGCAAGCGUUGUCCGGAAUUAUUGGGCGUAAAGAGCAUGUAGGUGGGCUUUUAAGUCCGAUGUGAAAAUGCGGGGCUCAA
RNAcentral lists this ribosomal RNA (577 nucleotides) under uncultured Acidaminococcus sp. RNAcentral's name for it is "bacterial SSU rRNA". It matches the Rfam family "Bacterial small subunit ribosomal RNA", at positions 57 to 612 of the family's 1533-position model. The record is from RNAcentral. Lineage: Bacteria; Bacillati; Bacillota; Negativicutes; Acidaminococcales; Acidaminococcaceae.